RNAcentral lists this long non-coding RNA (2215 nucleotides) under Marmota monax (woodchuck). The record is from RNAcentral. Lineage: Eukaryota; Metazoa; Chordata; Mammalia; Rodentia; Sciuridae.
CUCUGUCUUUGUUUCUGCAGGAUUGGUGAUAUUGUUUUUCAACUGUUUCCUUAGUCAAAAUUUACAAUUCCUUUUUUGAACCAGAAAAAAAAAAUUCACUCUACUUGGAAAACGUUUCUGACAUUUUCUUCUGCAAAAAAUCAGAGAAAGUGGCUGAGAGAUGAACAAUGAUGUGACCUGACCUGCCGAUUUAGAGGGCACCCCAGCACCUCACGCCUUCUUUCUUCAUCCCUUACAACAACUGUCAUCACUGAUAAUUUUGAAUCUACUGAGACAAAAAACUAUGCCAGAAGAAAACUUGAAAGAUUUCACUGCUAUGGAAUUACUCUCUAAAAAUGGUAUACAACAGCUGAGUCUAAGAGUGUUGGGCUAUGUUGACCAAUAAAAAGAGAUUAGAGUCAAAUUACUAAAAUUGGAAAUGAAAUUGGGGACAUUAUUGCUAACCUUACAGAAAUAAAGAUUAAAAGAGAAUGUGAACAAGUAUAUGUGGAAAAACUAGAUAAGCUAGCAGAAAUGGACAGAUUCCUAGAAAGACAUGAGCUACCAAAACUGACUCAGGAAGAAAUAGAAAAUCUAAAAGACCCAUCAAAAGUCAAGGGGUUCAAUAAAUACUAAUACUAAUGCUACUAAUAAUAUCAUCCCCCCAAACAAAGAAAAGCACAGGAUAAGAUGGUUUCCCUGGUGAAUUCCACUAAUCAUUAAAGAGGAAUCAAUACCAAUCCUUCCGAGAAAGAGGAGAGAACUUCCUAAUACAUACUGCAAAGCCAGCUUUAUCCCAACACCAAAUCCAAAGACAUCAAGAGAAAAGGAAACUGUAGGUGGCUAUCUCUUAUGAACAUUGCCUGACCUAUAUGCUAAAUAAUCAUAUAUUUAUCAUUGAAAAAUAGGGAUACUGCAAAUUAACACUUUUCAUUAAUUAUUAUUUAAUAAGCAUUGUUUUCAAUAUUUGAUAUUGGAGCCAACCCAGUAACUAUGAGUAAUCAGCUAAGGUAUGUCAAUCUUUUCAAAGAGCCAACUUUUGGGUUCAUUAGCUUUAUUGUUUUUAUAUUCUCUACUUUAAUCUUUAUUAUUUCCCUCCCUUGAGUUGCCUUACAUUUAGUUUGCUCUUUUUAUUCUACUCCUGUGAGGUGAAGACUUUCUUUCUAUUUAAUAUUGGCAUUUACAGCUAUAAAUUCCCUUCUAAGCACUGUUUUCACUGUGUCUUAGAAGUAUUAGUAUGUUGUGGUUUUGUUUUUAUUGAUUCAAAGUAUUUUAUAAUUUUUUCCAUUUCCCUGGUGAUUUCUUGACACAAUGGUUAGGAGGAUUUGUUUAAUUUCCACAUAUUUGUGAAUUUUCCAGUUUUCUUCCUGCUAUUGGUUCCUGGUUUUAUUCCACCAUGGUCAGAGAAGAUACUUUGAAUGAUUUAAAUUUUUGAAAUCCAUUGAGACUUGUUUUGUGGCCCAACAUGUGGCCUAUCUUGGAGAAUGUUCCAUUGAGGAGAACGUGCAGUAGUAGGGUGGAAUGUUCUGUCUGUGAGGUCUUACCUUAGUCCAGUUUUUAUUGCUAUACCUAAAUACCACAGACUGAGUAAUUUAAAAGGAAAAGAAGUUUAUCAGGCUCAUAGUUCUGAAGGCUGGGAAGUUCAGGAUGAGGUGGCUGCAUCUAUUGAGAUCCUUCUGCAGAGUCCUGAGGUAGCACAAGUCAUUACCACAUGGAAAGAAGGACUGAGUGCCAGCUCAGGUCUCUUCCUAUAAAACCAUAGCCAUUGGACUAUACCCACAACCUUCUGGCCUCAUUCAACCUUAAUUACCUUCCAAAGGUCCCAACUCAAAUCCUACAGUCAAAUUAAAUUUCUAUCCUCUUAAUUAAUAUUGCAUAAUGGGGAUUAAAUUUGAACAUGAGUUUACAGGUCUACUAGGUUUAUAAUGUUUAAAUUCUCUAUUUCCUCACUGAUUUUUCCAUCUAGUUGUUUCAUGCAUUAUUGAAAGUGGGGGCAUUGAAAUCUCCAACUAUUAUUGUAGAACUGUCUUAUUCUUUCAACUCUGUCAGUAUUUGCUUUAUAUAUUUUGAGAUUCUGUUGUUAGGUACAUAUAUGUUUAUAAAUGAUGUAUUUACUGGAAGAAUUGGCCCUCUUAUGAAUGUAUUAUGUUCUUCUUAUCUCUUGUAAUAAUUUUUUACUUAAAGUCUGAUUCUCAUAUUAGUAGAGCUAUCUUAGCUCUAUUAUGGUUACUAUUUG